Molecule: long non-coding RNA, 353 nt
Organism: Phymastichus coffea
Lineage: Eukaryota; Metazoa; Arthropoda; Insecta; Hymenoptera; Eulophidae
Exons: 3
Source: RefSeq, a predicted model, not a curated record
CGGUUUUACUUGCUUCCCAGGAUAAAGAAGGAAAACCUACAAUUAGUGACAGUCAAGUAAAAUCAUAUAUAAGUGAUUACCUUAAGUCGUCACCAUUUAAAGGAAAGCAUUAUAAGCCGAAAUCAAAGAAAAGAAAAGGAAAAACGUCUGUGUGUGAGUAUCUGAUUUAUGGAGAAAAUGGAUGCAAUCAAUAUGAAGAUGCUUCAACGGAAGAAAUUAACGAAGCUGAUCAUGAUAUCCAAAAUCCGAAGAGAGCUCGAAGAGGUACUCAGCCUGAAGACGAGCAAAGACCAGAUCGAGACACUUUGUUUAUAAACGAGAAGGAUGACAUCUAUUUCGAAGAAUUAUAAUUU